RNAcentral lists this ribosomal RNA (563 nucleotides) under uncultured Planctomycetota bacterium. RNAcentral describes it as "bacterial SSU rRNA". It matches the Rfam family "Bacterial small subunit ribosomal RNA", at positions 153 to 729 of the family's 1533-position model. Lineage: Bacteria; Pseudomonadati; Planctomycetota. The record is from RNAcentral.
GAAACUGUGGGUAAUACCGAAUAAUAUCUCCGGAUCAAAGGUGUGAUUCCGCUUGGGGAGGAGACUGCAUACUACUAGCUUGUUGGUGGGGUAAUGGCCUACCAAGGCUUUGAUGGUUAGCGGGCGUGAGAGCGUGGCCCGUCUCACUGGGACUGAAACACUGCCCAGACAUCUACGGAUGGCUGCAGUCGAGAAUCUUCGGCAAUGAGCAAAAGCUUGACCGAGCGAUGCCGCGUGCGGGAUGAAGGCCCUCGGGUUGUAAACCGCUGUCAGUUGGGAGGAAGGACUCGUGAAGAGCGAGUUUUGACCUAUCUUCAGAGGAAGUCCGGGCUAAGUUCGUGCCAGCAGCCGCGGUAACACGAACCGGACAAACGUUAUUCGGAAUUAUUGGGCUUAAAGGGUUUGUAGGCGGUCAUGUAGGUGGGGUGUGAAAUCCCUCGGCUCAACCGAGGAACUGCGCUCCAAACCACAUGACUAGAGGGAGACAGAGGUAAGCGGAACUGAUGGUGGAGCGGUGAAAUGCGUUGAUAUCAUCAGGAACACCAGUGGCGAAAGCGGCUUAC